AGGCAAAUGUGGCCCAGCCAGCUUUACAAGGAUGCAUAAAUGAAGAAAGGAGAGAAAUGUGCCUCAAGAUACAUAGAGAUGAUAGACAAGGAAAGAUGAAAAAAUGAGUACUAAAAAUCCGAUGUACCAGGCUGUGAUUAAUUCCUAUAGGACAAAAAGGACAGAAGUAAAAGCAUAAAUACAUACCUGAAUCAUAUAGAAGAAAUCCAGAGAAGCAAACAAUAUGGACAGGCACUUACCUUGCUAUGUGCAUAAACCACUGAACCUAACAAUUUCCAAGUCCCUCCUCUUCGGUCCAUGCGCACCAUACGAAGGAUCUGUAGGAAACGAAGACUUCUCAGUGCUGAUGUUGCAAAAAUGUUACCCUGAGUUUUUGCAGAAACAACUGCUAUUGAAGCGAUGAGAACAAUGAUGUCUGAAAGAAAUACAUUACAAAAUAUAUUAAUGUACUCAUAUUGACUAGUAAUAUGGUCAUAUGCUGGGUGAAGUAUCUGAUUUGUACAAAAAUAAUAUUCUUGAUGUCAACAGUCUUGAUUAGGACUGCAGAAGCAGGAUCUUGAAUAAAUUCAGAGAUCAGUUUUUUGCAUGUAGCCUGCAUGGAAGGAAGGAAACACUUGCUAAGAGUAAUUUCAAGUAUUGUGGCUAAGCUGCAUUGCACAUAACAUUAGAUUAUGAAGCUAAUGUUCACUACAGCAGUAAACUGAAGAAAAGCUAAAAUUAGGCCAUGUUCUCAUGACCACGGGGAGCACAGUUAAAGAGUUAACCAUGAUUGUUAUGCCCUGCGCACUCCCAAGGAGCAUGAUGUGAGAUCUCGGAAUUUCUGGACAUUCCCGGGCAAACUGCUGUGGUGAAACAGCAUUUAACCAGGAUUGAUAACAAAGAUCUGUCAUGCACCACGGGAGUGUGCGGGGCUUAGUGAUCGCAGUUAACUCUUUAAUCAUGUUUCCCACAGUUGUGCAAACACAGCCUUACUUUGUUUUUUUAACAAAGAAUCUGGAGAGACAAAUGUCAGCAUUAUUAUGAUUAAGGAGUUAAUCUUGUGAAAUAUCUUCAUGGACAAAACUUUCAGGAACAGUGGAGAGAUUUAAGAAUUUGAAAAGAAAAGUGAAUGGAAAUAACAUCCCUUUACAGCUGAUAGAUAGAUAGAUAGAUGCUAUAAAAUAUUCCAUUAACUAAUGCUAAGCUCCAGCAAAACAAAUGUUCUUUCAUGUAAUUCUUAUAGCAAUUUGUAAGAAAAGGUAGAUUUCUUGAUUUUAUCAAGCACUCCUCUUGGUAGGCCUGUGUGUUGGAAUGUCAAUUUUGACAAAUUUGUACCUGCCCGCCCACCCCUGGCACCAUGCAGAGGUAGGCCAUCCUAGCACAACAAGCUCUGGGAAGUACCUGACAUUUCUAGUGCUAAGGGAGCCAUUUCUAUGUAACCAGAUCCCACAGGGAUGGCUGGGAAGGCACAUGGGGAUGCCAGUAAGGUGCACAGGGACAUCUAGGGAGUGUCGUUCCUCCCAGUGCUUUCUCCAUGGGCACCAA
Hemicordylus capensis (graceful crag lizard) is the source of this 1524-nucleotide long non-coding RNA. RefSeq lists it as uncharacterized. The record is from RefSeq and is a predicted model, not a curated record. The transcript is spliced from 3 exons. Lineage: Eukaryota; Metazoa; Chordata; Lepidosauria; Squamata; Cordylidae.